GGCCGCGGGAAUUCGAUUCAGGCCUAACACAUGCAAGUCGAGCGGGGUUUUCGGACCUAGCGGCGGACGGGUGAGUAAUGCGUAGGAAGCUGCCCGAUAGAGGGGGAUACCAGUUGGAAACGACUGUUAAUACCGCAUAAUGUCUACGGACCAAAGUGUGGGACCUUCGGGCCACAUGCUAUCGGAUGCGCCUACGUGGGAUUAGCUAGUUGGUGAGGUAAUGGCUCACCAGGGCGACGAUCUCUAGCUGGUUUGAGAGGAUGAUCAGCCACACUGGAACUGAGACACGGUCCAGACUCCUACGGGAGGCAGCAGUGGGGAAUAUUGGACAAUGGGCGCAAGCCUGAUCCAGCCAUGCCGCGUGUGUGAAGAAGGCCUUCGGGUUGUAAAGCACUUUCAGCGAGGAGGAAGGGUGGUGUGUUAAUAGCACAUCAUCUUGACGUACUCGCAGA
Molecule: ribosomal RNA, 452 nt
Filed under: uncultured bacterium
Lineage: Bacteria
Description: bacterial SSU rRNA
Rfam family: Bacterial small subunit ribosomal RNA
Source: RNAcentral